RNAcentral lists this ribosomal RNA (421 nucleotides) under uncultured prokaryote. RNAcentral describes it as "partial 16S ribosomal RNA". The record is from RNAcentral.
UGUACCAUACUCAGGCACACAAAAAUACUGAUAGCAGUCGGCGUGUGAAUCAUUAGCCUUGCGACCCUCGGCAGCAAGAACCAUACGACCAAUAUCACGAAAAUAGUCACGCAAAGCAUUGGGAUUAUCAUAAAACGCCUCUAAUCGGUCGUCAGCCAACGUGAGAGUGUCAAAAACGAUAAACCAACCAUCAGCAUGAGCCUGUCGCAUUGCAUUCAUCAAACGCUGAAUAGCAAAGCCUCUACGCGAUUUCAUAGUGGAGGCCUCCAGCAAUCUUGAACACUCAUCCUUAAUACCUUUCUUUUUGGGGUAAUUAUACUCAUCGCGAAUAUCCUUAAGAGGGCGUUCAGCAGCCAGCUUGCGGCAAAACUGCGUAACCGUCUUCUCGUUCUCUAAAAACCAUUUUUCGUCCCCUUCGGGG